AUGGGAGCCCAGCUGCAGGACAGCGAUCGGGAGGCUGGCUCGCAGACAGCGGGUGAGACUGCCGGCCGGCAGGGUGCCCAGGAAGCCACCAGAGGACUAGCACCUGCCUACACCCAGCUGGACCCACAGCCUCUCACACUCGUACCCAGGGCCGCCCCACCGGGCCGGCCCCCGGACUGCUGCUCAGAAAGCCCCGCGCUCCGCUGCAGGCACCUAGGCCACGUGGGCCUCAACUUCUCAAGCACAAAACGGCCAGGACCAUCCCUCAUGGGCUGCCUUGGGGGCAGUGGUGGCAGUGCCUGGUGCCCUCUCCCUUCCCGGGCCAUCGUGGUGACCACAGUGUGUGCCGGCUGCUCACCAACCUCCAUCCACGGCCCGUCCGUCUACCCCUUGCGCUCCUGCUGCACAAGGGCCACCAACGCCACCUCUGUGGCGCUGGGCUGCCUGGCCACAGGCUACUUUCCGGGCCCAGUGGCCAUGACCUGGGACACAGCACCCCUGAACAGGAGCACGCUGACCUUCCCUGCCAUCCAAAACUUGAACUCCAGCCUCUACACCACCAGCAGCCAGGUGACAGUCUCGGGCGAGUGGUCCAAGCAGAAAUUCACCUGCAGUGUGGCCCAUGCUGCGUCCAACACCACCACCACCAAGGCCGUCACUGGGUGCACCAAGAACUUCACCGACCCCACUGUGAAGCUCUUUUACUCCUCCUGCGACCCCCGUGGCGACACCCACACCACCAUCCAGCUCCUGUGCUUAAUUUCCGGCUACGCCCCAGGGAAAAUCAAGGUCACCUGGUUGGUGGACGGGCGUGAGGCCACAGACGUGUUCCCACACACUGGCCCCGAAAGGGUGGAGGGCAAACUGGCCUCCACCUCUAGCGAGCUCAACAUCACGCAGGGCCAGUGGGUGUCCCAACUCACCUACACCUGCCGGGUCACCUAUUAUGGCUUCACCUACGACAACCACGCCCGCAGGUGCACAGCUGAGUCCGAGCCCCGUGGCGUGAGCGCCUACCUGAGCCCACCCACGCCUCUCGACCUGUACGUCAACAAGUCACCCAAGAUCACCUGCCUGGUGGUGGACCUGGCCAGCACAAAGGACAUUAAACUGACCUGGUCCAGGGAGAACAAGGAUCUAGUGUAUCCAGACACGCUUGUCUCCAAGCCUGAGUUCAACGGGACGGUCACCGUCACGUCCACCCUGCCGGUGGAUGUCAGCGACUGGCUUAAGGGCGAGACCUACUACUGCAAAGUGACCCACCCACACCUACCCAAGGAGAUCCUGCGCUCCAUCUCGAAGGGCGUUGGCGAGCGCAUGGUUCCCGAGGUCUACGUGUUCCCGCCACCCAAGGAGGAGCUCAAGACCAAGGGCGAGGCCACCCUCACCUGCCUGAUCCAGAACUUCUUUCCCGUGGACAUCUCCGUGCGGUGGCUGCGGAAUGGCGCCCUGAUGCAGGCGGACCAGCACACCAGCACGAGGCCCCGCAAGGUCCGCAGCCCCACCCCCGGCUCCCCCGCCUAUUUCGUCUACAGCCACCUGGUGGUCAGGCGGGCCGACUGGGAGCAGAAGAGUGAAUUCACCUGCCAGGUGGCGCACGAGGCGCUGCCCGGCUCGAGGACGCUCAAGAGAUCCAUGUCCAUCGAGCUCGAGCUGGCCCUGGAGGACCUGUACACAGAGGAGGCCGAGAGCGACGAGCUGGAGGGGAUGCAGACCGGCCUCCUAACCUUCGUGGCGCUCUUCCUGCUUAGCGUGAGCUACGGCGCUGCCGUCACUCUCUGCAAGGUGAAGUGGGUCCUGGCUGCCGUCCCGCAGAAGCAGCCGCAGGCUUCCCAUGACUACAGGAGCACCGCACAGCCCUGCCUCUUCCCUCCCCACAUGAGCGUCCCCGAGGCUGCCAGCUCGACCCUGGGCCGGAGGAAGGAGCAGACCAGCCCCCAAGGGGCCAGAGCCAGGGGCCCAGCGACCAGCACACAGGCGCCAAGAGGCCCCAGCUCAGCCCCAAGGUCGAAGGCACUGCCCCAGCACUCACCCCGAGUCCCACGCCUCCAGCUCCCUCAGGGCGGCUCCAGGGGACACCGGGGCUUCAGACCCCCGGAAGUUGCAGGGCCCCAGGACCUCACGGGCCGGCAAGAGGAAGGAUCCUCAGGGCCAAUCAACAACGAUGCAGGCGCCGCUGGUGCUUGUGAGAGCGACGGGUGUGGGGUGGACCGGAGUCCAGCAGCCCGGGAGGAGGUGCCCCUCGUGGGCGAUGCUAUUCAGUCGAGGGCCCCGCGGCUGCUGAGGCUGGCGGAGGAGGGGCAGUCCCUGGCCGUGGCCAGGAGGGAGCAGCUCCCCCCACCCUCACAGCCGCCCUGUGGCCUGAAGGGACCCUAA
Lipotes vexillifer (Yangtze River dolphin) is the source of this 2376-nucleotide non-coding RNA. The record is from the annotation of a RefSeq genome assembly. Lineage: Eukaryota; Metazoa; Chordata; Mammalia; Artiodactyla; Lipotidae.